CACCGCCUGGGGAGUACGACCGCAAGGUUAAAACUCAAAUGAAUUGACGGGGACCCGCACAAGUAGUGGAGCAUGUGGUUUAAUUCGAAGAUACGCGCAGAACCUUACCAACACUUGACAUGUUCGUCGCGACUCUAAGAGAUUAGAGUUUUCGGUUCGGCCGGACGAAACACAGGUGCUGCAUGGCUGUCGUCAGCUCGUGUCGUGAGAUGUUGGGUUAAGUCCCGCAACGAGCGCAACCCUCACUUUUAGUUGCCAUCAUUUAGUUGGGCACUCUGAAAGAACUGCCAGUGAUAAGCUGGAGGAAGGUGGGGAUGACGUCAAGUCCUCAUGGCCCUUACGUGUUGGGCUACACACGUGCUACAAUGAUAUUUACAACAGGAAGCAAGACGGCGACGUUUAGCAAAUCCUAAAAAGAUAUCUCAGUUCGGAUUGCACUCUGCAACUCGAGUGCAUGAAGCUGGAAUUACUAGUAAUCGUGGAUCAGCGUGCCACGGUGAAUGCGUUCCCGGGUCUUGUACACACCGCCCGUCACACCAUGGGAGUUGGUUCUACCUUAAGGCAAGGUUUAAAACCCUUGACCACGGUAUAGUCAGCGACUGGGGUGAAGUCGUAACAAGGUAGCCGUAGGGGAACCUGCGGCUGGAUUACCUCCUUUCUAAGGAUGAGUGAGAUUUUUAUUUCACUCUAAAUAAUAUACACAGGUUAAUGUUGACCGUCCUCAUUUCUCUUCUUAAAAGUUAGUGUUUCUCUUGCAUGGGGGCCGGUAGCUCAGUUGGUUAGAGCACACCCUUGAUAAGGGUGGGGUCGAAAGUUCGAGUCUUUCUCGGCCCACCAAAUAUAAGAUCAUGGGGGAUUAGCUCAGCUGGGAGAGCGCCUGAUUUGCAUUCAGGAGGUCAGCGGUUCGAUCCCGCUAUCCUCCACCAAUAAACACUUAGUUAUAUAAAUUGUGAAUAAAUAAUAAUUAAUAUCAAUAUCUAUAUCCGAACAUUAGAAAUGUUAUUAACUAAUGUUCAAAUAAAAAUUUGAUUCAACACAGAAUUUUUUUCUG
Molecule: small RNA, 1051 nt
Filed under: uncultured Pelagibacterales bacterium
Lineage: Bacteria; Pseudomonadati; Pseudomonadota; Alphaproteobacteria; Candidatus Pelagibacterales
Description: bacterial SSU rRNA
Rfam family: Bacterial small subunit ribosomal RNA (bases 1-658)
Source: RNAcentral